UGUGUAGGCGGUUGUUUAAGUUUGGUGUGAAAGCCCCCGGCUCACCCGGGGAUCUGCAUUCCAAACUGCCUGGCUUGAGUACGGGAGAGGAUGAGGGAAUUCCUGGUGUAGCGGUGAAAUGCGUAGAUAUCAGGAGGAACACCGGUGGCGAAGGCGCUCAUCUGGCCCGAUACUGACGCUGAGGCGCGAAAGCUAGGGGAGCAAACG
This 207-nucleotide ribosomal RNA is filed under the name uncultured bacterium. RNAcentral's name for it is "partial 16S ribosomal RNA". It matches the Rfam family "Bacterial small subunit ribosomal RNA", at positions 568 to 774 of the family's 1533-position model. The record is from RNAcentral.